Molecule: ribosomal RNA, 466 nt
Filed under: uncultured bacterium
Lineage: Bacteria
Description: partial 16S ribosomal RNA
Rfam family: Bacterial small subunit ribosomal RNA
Source: RNAcentral
GAUGAACGCUGGCGGCGUGCUUAACACAUGCAAGUCGAACGGAAAGGCCACAGCUUGCUGUGGUACUCGAGUGGCGAACGGGUGAGUAACACGUGGGUGAUCUGCCCUGUACUUCGGGAUAAGCUUUGGAAACUGGGUCUAAUACCGGAUAGGAAUCACAUGUGGGUGUGUGGUUGGAAAGCUUUUGCGGUAUGGGAUGAGCUCGCGGCCUAUCAGCUUGUUGGUGGGGUAAUGGCCUACCAAGGCGUCGACGGGUAGCCGGCCUGAGAGGGUGUACGGCCACAUUGGGACUGAGAUACGGACCAGAGUCCUACGGGAGGCAGCAGUGGGGAAUAUUGCACAAUGGGCGCAAGCCUGAUGCAGCGACGCCGCGUGGGGGAUGACGGCCUUCGGGUUGUAAACUCCUUUCGUCAGGGACGAAGCGAAAGUGACGGUACCUGGAUAAGAAGCACCGGCUAACUACGUG